GCGCCUCCAUCUCUCUUCAUUCUCCUCAUCACCGCCUCUCUCACCCUCUUCAAUCCAUCCUCCUCCGCCGCCGCCUCCGCUACUCCCCCAACCACCUCACCCCAUCACCGCCACCACAACCACCACCUCCAUCACCAUUGCCACCUCCAUCACCAUCACCGCCGCCGCCGUCACCUCCAUCAUCACCUCCGCCUCCGCGAUCAAGAAUCUCAAGACCAUCACGACUUCCGCCGUCGCCUCCAUCCCCACUGCCGCUGUCGCCUCCAUCUCCACUGCCUCCGCCUCCUCCGGCGGCACGAGCGACGGGGCAGCAACUCAACAACAUCAUCGACGCUUUGAUCGGCUCAGGCGACUUCGGGAGCUGGGUCAACAUCAUCACGGCUGCGAAUCCCCUCGCCCUUCCACUGAGCGCCACCGUCUUCGUGCCUCAAAACGACGCCGUGACGCGCGUGCCGGCCGCCGACCCGUUCCUGCUGCCUUACCACGUGGUGCCUCAGCGGCUCACCUUCGCCGACCUCCGCCUCUUCAAGACCAACUCUCGCCUCCCGACUCUCCUUCCCGGAAAGUUCAUCGUCGUCACCAGCAAUUCCGAGUCCAAUUUCACCGUCGACGACUCGACUAUCACCCAGCCCGACGUCUACGUCACCGCCAACGUCGUCGUCCACGGCGUCGCAACCGUUCUUGAUUACUCUGUUUACGGCGUCGCAACCGUCGUCUCUAUGCCGAAGCCAAAGCAGCAGCCGUCGCCAGCGCCGCCGAGUCCAGGGCAGCUUCUUCCCGCCGGCGUCAGCAUCCCGCCGUGGAAAUCCGGUGCGACAACGCCGUGCCUCUGCG
Molecule: long non-coding RNA, 834 nt
Filed under: Rosa chinensis
Lineage: Eukaryota; Viridiplantae; Streptophyta; Magnoliopsida; Rosales; Rosaceae
Description: sRNA RchiOBHm_Chr5g0018381
Source: RNAcentral